RNAcentral lists this ribosomal RNA (468 nucleotides) under uncultured soil bacterium. RNAcentral describes it as "bacterial SSU rRNA". It matches the Rfam family "Bacterial small subunit ribosomal RNA", at positions 26 to 517 of the family's 1533-position model. The record is from RNAcentral.
AGAACGAACGCUGGCGGCAUGCCUAACACAUGCAAGUCGAACGAGACCUUCGGGUCUAGUGGCGCACGGGUGCGUAACGCGUGGGAAUCUGCCCUUGGGUUCGGGAUAACAGUUGGAAACGACUGCUAAUACCGGAUGAUGUCUUCGGACCAAAGAUUUAUCGCCCAGGGAUGAGCCCGCGUAGGAUUAGCUAGUUGGUGAGGUAAGAGCUCACCAAGGCGACGAUCCUUAGCUGGUCUGAGAGAUGAUCAGCCACACUGGGACUGAGACACCGGCCCAGACUCCGUACGGGAGGCAGCAGGUGGGGAAUAUGGACAAGUGGGACGAAACGCCUAGGAUCCGAGACAAUGGACCGCGACGAGUCGAGUGGAAGGUCCUUAAGGGUUGUAAAGCUUACGUUUUACCCGGGAUACGAUAUGACGUAGUAACCGGAGAAAGUAACGACCCCGGACUAACCGUCCGUAGCCA